RNAcentral lists this ribosomal RNA (229 nucleotides) under uncultured bacterium. RNAcentral's name for it is "partial 16S ribosomal RNA". It matches the Rfam family "Bacterial small subunit ribosomal RNA", at positions 568 to 796 of the family's 1533-position model. The record is from RNAcentral.
CGCGCAGGCGGUUUGUCAAGUCAGAUGUGAAAGCCCACGGCUUAACCGUGGAAGUGCAUUUGAAACUGGCAGACUUGAGUAUCAGAGGGGAAAGUGGAAUUCCCGGUGUAGAGGUGAAAUUCGUAGAUAUCGGGAGGAAUACCGGUGGCGAAGGCGACUUUCUGGCUGAAUACUGACGCUGAGGCGCGAAAGCGUGGGGAGCAAACAGGAUUAGAUACCCUGGUAGUCC